This 233-nucleotide long non-coding RNA is filed under the name Manihot esculenta (cassava). Its description in RNAcentral is "long non-coding RNA (MESC_LNC004699)". Lineage: Eukaryota; Viridiplantae; Streptophyta; Magnoliopsida; Malpighiales; Euphorbiaceae. The record is from RNAcentral.
GCCAUGGUGAAAAAUAUAUUGAUGACACUCAUUAGAGAGAAUGAAUUGAAAGUUGUGAGAAUAAAUUUAAUAAGACUUGUUUUAGCGAUUGGUGUUGAUUUGCCCAAAUCAUUGAGAAAGAAAAUUCGGCAAAGGCCUAGACUUCAUGAGCACAAAUUGAAAACUGUUCCAAUGGUUGAAAGACUAUGAACAGGGCUAGUAGCUAUUUGGACAGGUGACCAACUGAGUAACUG